AAGAAAAGUAAAAACAAGGUACCUGCCUUCAAAGUUUAUACUCUAGUGAUGAAGACAACAUAUAAAUAACUAUGUAUAUACAUAUUUAUUUAGUGUAAACCAAAGGUAACGUCAGAGGAAUAGUUCUUGGAGAGGAGGAGAAUGGGGUGGCAAAGGCUUCCUGCCUGGAUGGUGUGAAUUUACCCCUUACCGUGAGAUUGAACUGAAUCUUGAAGGAAAUCAAGAGGCAGAGAUGAGGAAGUACAACAUUCCAGGCACUGGGGAUAACAAGCUAAAAAGGGGCGGGGGAGUGAGUAUAUAGUGUUCAAGAAACUAGAAAUAGAUAGGCUUAGAUCCUGGAGUUUGCAGAGAGAAGUAUAUGAAUGAAAAGACGGAAUCGGGCCAGGUUGUGAAGGUCUUUAAAAGGACAAGUAAAGGGAAUUUGAUUCUGGAGGUAAUGCGGAACCAUGGAGAUUACUGAGGGUGUGGGGAGUAUGGGAUUGACAUAAUCAUACCUGGAUUUUAGUAAAGAGUUUAGACACCUGAGUGGAGAGUGAAUUGGAAUAGAGAAGAGACACUUGAGACAGGAAACCACUGGGUAUGUCACUUAAUUUCUCAUCCUCAAUUUCCCCCAUCGGUAAAAAGAGGAGGUUGAACCCAAUAAUUUCCAAGCUUCACACCUAUGAGCCUAAAUCCCUUGAUCUUUCUGACUCUCAGUUUCCUCGCCUGAGGAAAAGUGGCCCUUGUGUCCACCUGCUUAGAGGCUCCCCAGGUCCCCUCUGUGCCCACUCCCCAAAUGCUGCCUCACCUUCGCUCCCUACCGCCCACCCCCAAACAGCCUCCCCUCCCGACCAGGGACACAGCCCUGUCCCCUAACCCGGGCCGGAGCCCCUCAGGGGGGUUUUCCCCCGACAGGUGAGACCCGGCUAGGGCGGAGAGACUGAAGACGGGGGUACCUGGAGGAUAAUAUCGGAGCAGGAGCCUUUUAAGCUUCAUUCUCUCGCUCACCGAGCACCGGCCAGAGGCCUUCAUAGCCAUGGCAACCGCCUAACAGAAGCUGCCCGGCUGGUCAACGCUUGCGCAUGCGCUCACAGGGGCGCCCUUUGCCUGGCGGGUGGCAAGAGCCUGGAGAUCCUACUUACCUGGUGUGGGAUUCCCUCCCCGGAGCUAGCGGAGGCCUCUCGGGUCCGCCCAGAACAGAAUUAAGAGGAAAGUUCGACACCUUUUUUGGGUACUGAACUCCUUGUGACAGCUCGCUAAAGCCACCUCUUGACUCCUUCUCAGGAUUCUAUUUUUAAAUGCUCGAAAUAAAAUGCCUGGAAACCAACGAUGAUGAAAUACAGUUUUCAAAAUAUUUAAAAAACAAGUUCUCGGAUCCCGGGUUAAGAACCUCUCAUCUAGAGGUGGCUGCGGGACGCUCUGGAGGGUCUCUACAGAUUACAGACUGCAUUUUGGCUCACUCACAAUCAAUUCUUUUGGCCAAGAAUUUGGGAGGAAACUACCUGGAGAAGAGGGGGAUAAAAAGGGGAUCCUAGGAUAUUUACCAAAGGAAGCUUCCUCUGUAAAGAGUGACUUUGCCAAGGUCAUAGAGCUAGAAGUAAAACUCAAAUUCCCUGAACUCGAGUCUACUGAUCUCUGAUGGGAGCCCUAAAAGGGACAGGAGAGGAGAUGAAGGAGAGAAAAUCUCUGUAGGUUCUGAAGUGUCUCUCAAGGGGUCAUAGGGAGAUAUUGAAGACUUUUGAGUGGGGCAAUAGCAUGAUCAGAUGUGGAUUUUAGAACUAUCAACUUGGCAACUGUGUGGAGCAUGGAUUCAGAAGGGAAGUGACUGGAGGCUGGGAAUAUAAAUUGGAGGCUGUUGCAAUAGCCCAGAUGAGAGACAAUGAAGGUCUGAACUUCAGUAAAGGUUAUGUGAAUGGAGAGAAAGGUUUAUGUGUAUGUGUAUAUACACAUGAAUAUAGGCAUAAGUGCAAACAUGUGAGUGUGUGAAUGUGUGUGUAUAUACAUACAUAUUAUAUGCAAUGUUGUAAAGGUAGAACCAAAAAAAUCUGACAAUUGAAUGGAUAGAAGGUUGAAGUAUAGCAAAGAGACAAGGAGAGCAUCAGGAUGGUAUGCCUGGGGAAUUAGAAGGACAGUGUAUCAUCAAAAGGAAGAGAGAAGUUUGGAAGAGAUAAAGGUUUUAGAUGAAAUUGGCCCCAUUUUAGGAGGUUUGUUUUUCAGAUGUCUGUGGGACAUUCAGUAGCUGAAUGGAGAAGGUAGUUGGUAACAUUGGAUUGGAAUUCAGAAAAGAGUUUUAGGGCAGAAUAUAGCUAUAGAUUUGGGAGUCGUGUGCAGACAAACUAUAUUUGAAUCCAUGGGAGUCAAACAGAGGGAUAGAGAAGGGGAGAGAACCCAGGACAUAGUUACUUAGCAGAAGAAAGAGAAGGAUCCAGAAAAUAAACUGAAAAAGAAAAGGCAGAAAAGUAUGAAGAAAUCAAAGAAAUAUCAAGGGCAAUAAUUCAAAUAAGAAGAGAGUAUCCACAAGAAGAUAGUGAUCGACAAUGUUAAAAGCCCAAAGAUGAAACAUUAAUUGAGAAAAUACUGUUAGAUUGGGUAGUUAAAAGAAUUUUUGGUAAUCUUGGAAAAAGCAGUAGAUGGGAUGGAAGCCAUUUUUCAAAACAUUGAGAAGUUAAUGGGAGGUGAAGAAAUGGAAGCAGUGAGCAUAAUAAACAACUCUUUCUAGAAAUCUGAUGAUAUAAAGGAGACAAACUAUAAAGCAACAGCUUGAAAGAAUGCAGAAUGAAGUGAAAGAUUUUUAGAACUAAGAAGACGUAGAUAUUUUCUGGAGAGACCAGAGAAGAAGCCAGUGGAUAAGAAGACUUUGAAGAUGAGAGAGAGAGAAAAAAAAGAGGA
Molecule: long non-coding RNA, 2868 nt
Organism: Monodelphis domestica (gray short-tailed opossum)
Lineage: Eukaryota; Metazoa; Chordata; Mammalia; Didelphimorphia; Didelphidae
Source: RefSeq, a predicted model, not a curated record